RNAcentral lists this ribosomal RNA (440 nucleotides) under uncultured bacterium. RNAcentral's name for it is "partial 16S ribosomal RNA". It matches the Rfam family "Bacterial small subunit ribosomal RNA", at positions 338 to 795 of the family's 1533-position model. The record is from RNAcentral.
CCUACGGGAGACUGCAGUGGGGAAUAUUGCGCAAUGGGCGAAACCCUGAAGCAGCAACGCCGCGUGGAGGAUGAAGGUUUUCGGAUUGUAAACUCCUUUUGUUAGAGAAGAUAAUGACGGUAUCUAACGAAUAAGCACCGGCUAACUCCGUGCCAGCAGCCGCGGUAAUACGGAGGGUGCAAGCGUUACUCGGAAUCACUGGGCGGAAAGAGCGCGUAGGCGGGAUAGCAAGUCAGAUGUGAAAUCCUAUGGCUUAACCAUAGAACUGCAUUUGAAACUGUUAUUCUAGAGUAUGGGAGAGGUAGGUGGAAUUCUUGGUGUAGGGGUAAAAUCCGUAGAGAUCAAGAGGAAUACUCAUUGCGAAGGCGACCUGCUAGAACAUAACUGACGCUGAUGCGCGAAAGCGUGGGGAGCAAACAGGAUUAGAUACCCUUGUAGUC